RNAcentral lists this ribosomal RNA (247 nucleotides) under uncultured bacterium. RNAcentral describes it as "partial 16S ribosomal RNA". It matches the Rfam family "Bacterial small subunit ribosomal RNA", at positions 118 to 351 of the family's 1533-position model. The record is from RNAcentral.
UGGGUAACCUGCCUCAAAGAGGGGAAUAGCCUCCCGAAAGGGAGAUUAAUACCGCAUAAUAUGUUUAAGUCGCAUGACUUUAACAUCAAAGGAUUUUCUUUUAAGAAAUUCCACUUUGAGAUGGACCCGCGGCGCAUUAGCUAGUUGGUGAGGUAACGGCUCACCAAGGCAACGAUGCGUAGCCGACCUGAGAGGGUGAUCGGCCACAUUGGAACUGAGACACGGUCCAGACUCCCGUAGGGGGCAG